Long non-coding RNA from Brassica napus (rape), 1748 nucleotides. RefSeq lists it as uncharacterized. The record is from RefSeq and is a predicted model, not a curated record. The transcript is spliced from 5 exons. NCBI's taxonomy places the organism in Eukaryota, Viridiplantae, Streptophyta, Magnoliopsida, Brassicales, Brassicaceae.
UAAUAAAAAAAAAACCUUCGAGUUAAGCCUAACUGAGCGAGCUCACAGAGACAUCGGUGGUGCCGGAAAAUCUUAUUCGAUUGAGUAUCGAAGAGAAUUUGAGAUAAGAAUGUCCAUAGAGGAAGACGUGAAGACGCCACCGUUAGGGAGCCACUGGAUCUGAUUCGAUUGAGUAUCAAGGAGAGAAUCUACGUCAAGCUCUGAUCCGAUCGUGAACUCCCUACGGAGUGAUAGAUUAACAGCGCGGGUUACCUAUGCAGUGAGUGAUAUCUAUAGGGUUUCAUCAUCACCACUCCUCACUGGUGCUCCUCCGCUUCUUCUUCCUCAUAUUAUUCAAGUCAAGGAGGUUAACCCUUAAUUUCAAGUAUUGAAGUCCAUAGUCAAGUGAGAUGGUUAAUGGUUGUGAAGGAACUGAGAGCUCAAAUGCCGCCACGGCUAAAACUCCCGAACCUUCUGGCCGGCCGCAACAAAAGGGUAGCUACGUUUUCUAUAUAAUCAAGCUGGAUUUGGUUUAUCUGAAGGAAUGCAAUCUCUACAUUUAUGUUUCUUGGUGGCUAUACUGUGUCAAGGAAAGGCUGUCAGGUGAUCAGUUUGAAGAGCUGAAGGCAUUCAUAGACAUUGGUGAUAUUUUGAAUGCUUGUGAGUUGUGACUCAAUGAAGAGGUCUUGAAUAAAAUGAGAGAAGCAUUGUUUUAGGUUUGUUUAUUUGUUAGUACCUCUUAACUCCUUAUCAAGCUCGCUCAUGAUGUAUAUAUUUAGAAGUGUUUAAGAGGCCCGGAAUGAUAAGAAAGGUCGUGCGCGAAUGGGUGUCUGAUAUGCUGUUGAUUGAUGGGAAGUCAACGCUAAUCCAAGCGUUGAUCAAUGUUUCGGUUUACCUCCUUCAGCAGCGUUUUUAUGUGAGAAGAAGCAGCACUAACUUCAGGUUCCCUGGCAGUCCUUUUGCAAUAAGAUUCAUCGAACAAACCAUGUAUGUCCAGAUUGCUGAAUCAGUCUACGGAGAGGUUCCGUUUCCAUAGCUUUGAGCAACUAAUGUCAGGCCAACAAAACACACAGAUUUGCCAGAUAUCGUCGGGAACUAUCACCAUUUUCAAUGAAGAAACAAAAAUAAUUCGACGCAUCAUGGCAACGCUCUGAUUUAUUUUUGUAUAGAUAACAAAUUGGAUUCCAGCACAAAGUUACAAUCUAUAACUCCACAGGGGGCAUGUAUAAUCGUAAAAUAAAGCAUAAGCCUCUGAGAAAUCGAUAGAAAAGAAGGUAAUUGCAGAGCAGGAUGCAUUCAAGAAGGGCCUGCAAGCUUUCCACUGGAAAGACUAUUGGCAAUAUAUUCCAGUUCAUGUAUUGUGUCUUGAGGAGAUUAUUCAUUUGGCAAAGAGGAAGAAGAAGGGAAAGGGAAGAAGCUAUGGGUACGACAAUGAUGUCUGAUAUUCUGCUUGAAAUGUAGAGUCUUGCAAACUUCAUAAUCAAAAGCAGAAGCUAUUUGAAGGUUCUAUUUGGUACAGUUCCAUGGUGUUACAUGAUCUGUCUCUGAAGGUUACGAGAACCCUAGCUUUCCACUGUCCAAGUACUUAUACAGAAAGCAAGUGCCGAGUGUACAAAGAAACUACAUAAUCAGAAGCAGAGGCUGCCCAUUAGAAGGCACUAUACGUGAAUAGUUAUGUAAACUGUAAAAUACCCAGUGUUUGUUUUAAAAUACUCAUUAUAAGCAACACGAGACGGUUUAAAAAAUAUAAACCUUAGUCAUUAAAAAUA